RNAcentral lists this long non-coding RNA (491 nucleotides) under Setaria viridis. Its description in RNAcentral is "long non-coding RNA (SVIR_LNC007518)". Lineage: Eukaryota; Viridiplantae; Streptophyta; Magnoliopsida; Poales; Poaceae. The record is from RNAcentral.
CAAGAUCUAUGUAUAAGUCAUAACACAUGGUAAUUUGUGAAUUUUGUUUAUGUUUUAUCAAGGAACAAAUAGAAAUACCUUUAGGGGAACCUAAAACUAAUGGAACAAAUAGUAGCAUAGGCUGCCGAUUGCGACGACAGAAAUUCCUCCCCCCACCAACUUCAUAAAGUAGUACUACGUUUCUUGAACUGCAGCGCUAUAAAUUAACAAAAGCAAACAUUAAUAAAAGAGGUUAGAUAAUCUGAAUGAAAACAACAAAGAAAGAAGAGUAAUUUCAUUAGUAGUCCUUAAACUCGUCCCGAGUUCUCAUCUCGGUCCCUGUAUUCUCAAAAUGCACACAGCAAUCCUUAAACUUGUCCCGAGUUCUCAUCCUAGUCCUGGUACUCUCGAAAUGCACAUAACAGUUCAUAAACUUUUUCCGAGCUCUCAUCCAGAUCCAUAAACUUGUUUCGAACUCUCAUCCAGGUUCAUAAACUUGUCCCGAGCUCUCA